Molecule: ribosomal RNA, 497 nt
Filed under: uncultured bacterium
Lineage: Bacteria
Description: partial 16S ribosomal RNA
Rfam family: Bacterial small subunit ribosomal RNA
Source: RNAcentral
GACGAACGCUGGCGGCGUGCCUAAUACAUGCAAGUUGAGCGCUGAAGGUUGGUACUUGUACCAACUGGAUGAGCAGCGCACGGGUGAGUAACGCGUGGGGAAUCUGCCUUUGAGCGGGGGACAACAUUUGGAAACGAAUGCUAAUACCGCAUAAAAACUUUAAACACAAGUUUUAAGUUUGAAAGAUGCAAUUGCAUCACUCAAAGAUGAUCCCGCGUUGUAUUAGCUAGUUGGUGAGGUAAAGGCUCACCAAGGCGAUGAUACAUAGCCGACCUGAGAGGGUGAUCGGCCACAGUGGGACUGAGACACGGCCCAAACUCCUACGGGAGGCAGCAGUAGGGAAUCUUCGGCAAUGGACGAAAGUCUGACCGAGCAACGCCGCGUGAGUGAAGAAGGUUUUCGGAUCGUAAAACUCUGUUGGUAGAGAAGAACGUUGGUGAGAGUGGAAAGAUCAUCAAGUGACGGUAACUACCCAGAAAGGGACGGCUAACUACGUG